GAUACGGGGAGGUAGUGACAAUAAAUACUGAUGCAGGGCUCUUUUGGGUCUUGCAAUUGGAAUGAGUACAAUUUAAACCCCUUAACGAGGAACAAUUGGAGGGCAAGUCUGGUGCCAGCAGCCGCGGUAAUUCCAGCUCCAAUAGCGUAUAUUAAAUUUGUUGCAGUUAAAAAGCUCGUAGUUGAAACUUGGGCCUGGCUGGGUGGUCCGCCUCACCGCGUGUACUGGUCCGGCCGGGCCUUUCCUUCUGGGGAAGCCCAUGGUCUUCAUUGACUGUGUGGGGGAACCAGGACUUUUACUUUGAAAAAAUUAGAGUGUUCAAAGCAGGCCUUUGCUCGAAUACAUUAGCAUGGAAUAAUGGAAUAGGACGGCUUUCCUAUUUUGUUGGUUUCUAGGAGAGCCGUAAUGAUUAAUAGGGAUAGUCGGGGGCAUCAGUAUUCAAUUGUCAGAGGUGAAAUUCUUGGAUUUAUUGAAGACUAACUACUGCGAAAGCAUUUGCCAAGGAUGUUUUCAUUAAUCAGUGAACGAAAGUUAGGGGAUCGAAGACGAUCAGAUACCGUCGUAGUCUUAACCAUAAACUAUGCCGACUAGGGAUUGGUGAAUGUUACUAUUAUGACUUCAUCAGCACC
This 629-nucleotide ribosomal RNA is filed under the name Microthyrium buxicola. RNAcentral describes it as "SSU rRNA". It matches the Rfam family "Eukaryotic small subunit ribosomal RNA", at positions 453 to 1087 of the family's 1831-position model. The record is from RNAcentral. Lineage: Eukaryota; Fungi; Ascomycota; Dothideomycetes; Microthyriales; Microthyriaceae.